AGGAUAAUACCGGAUAGGCAAUUUUUCCUGUAAUGGUUCUUUGUUUAAAUGUUUUUUCGCCUAAGGAUGGGUCUGCGGCCGAUUAGGUAGUUGGUUAGGUAAUGGCUUACCAAGCCGUUGAUCGGUACGGGUUGUGAGAGCAAGAGCCCGGAGAUGGAACCUGAGACAAGGUUCCAGGCCCUACGGGGCGCAGCAGGCACGAAACCUCCACAAUGUGAGAAAUCGCGAUGGG
Molecule: ribosomal RNA, 232 nt
Filed under: uncultured archaeon
Lineage: Archaea
Description: partial 16S ribosomal RNA
Rfam family: Archaeal small subunit ribosomal RNA
Source: RNAcentral